UUCAUAGUCCUUUAUUUGUAUCGUCAUCUUAUCUGACCAUCUCAGGUAACUUUUUUUAAGGUGUCAUUAUUCAAAAAUUCUCACUCAAGCCUACUAAUCGAACCUGAAAAACAUUAUAUGUUGAAUCCCUUGUUUUGAUUUAUUGGACCAACUGUUCCCCUGUAAAUUUUCUGCUUUUAACCCCUGCAGGCUUCAUCCAUAAGUGCAAGACAUUCCCCUAAUUCUGCUGUGCUUUGCCAUCAUGUCAAAGGUGAGUUUCACCUUAUCUUGCGUAAAAUAAUAAACACAAAUUUAAUCAAUUUAAUAUUUGCCAACUCCUUUUAUAACUUCUUUUUUGGUCUAUUUACUGUAUUGUAUUUCAUGUUCCCCAUCUUUGAAUCCUGUUGCAGUUAGUAGAUACUGAUGGUAGUUGUUAUAUUAUUUAGUUCAAUCCAUUUCUUGGAAACUCUUCAAGUAGAACUCAGUAAAUUAGCUCCGUCUAUUAUGCCUUGUUGAUGCUAUUUAUUCUAAUAUGGGGACCUGUCAUUUGAGAGCUGCAACUGAAGGGAAGAAAAAUACUAUGCCCCAUUCCCAAAAUGUUAUUAGAUGGAAUUGAAGAUAUCUAUAAAUACUAGACUAAAUAAUUAAGGGGGACCUGAAGCUACAACAUCAGAGUGAUAAUUUAGGUUGGAAGGAUUCCUGUAGUAGUAUGUUUGGAACUUGGUUGGUUACAACAUUGUUCCUGCUAUUAUAUUUUAGUAGUAUCCUUUCAAGUUUGUGUUCUUGUUUAGGACUUGCAUUUUCUAGUUCUGUAGUCUUAAUAAAUGAGGAGUCUGUAAGUAAGGAGUGCCAGCUCAAAUAAAUUGAGUUCAUGAUAUGAAAUACCGACUGUUUAUAGCUAUAAAUUGAUCAAUUCUGGGUUUUGCUUUCUCUAACAUCAUUUUUGUAAACCUUUUCUUCAUUAUAUGUCGUUCCUAAGAUAUGUUGCUUUGCUUUACGGUGGGCAGGAAGAAGGCCUCAGUUAAAAGUUGCUUUAUAAGAUGAACUGUCACUCCUUGCUGCUGUUGUCAUAUAGCAAACCAAGAUGAACAUGUUCAUGCUGAUGAAUUAUGAUGGUCCUCUAUUACAAAGAAGUACCUGAUGAUAAACGAGAUAAUAUUUGAUAGUGGUUAAUACUUGUAAAAACAGAUAUCCCCAUGUAGGUACUGCUUCUUCAUAAGACUAUUUUAGCUCAGUUUGUCUUUGUAAUAUACUAAGAAUCAUGUGCUUAUAUAUAUAUAUAUAUAUAUAUAUAUAUAUAUAUAUAUAUAUAUAUAUAUAUAUAU
This 1304-nucleotide long non-coding RNA is filed under the name Panax ginseng (ginseng). Its description in RNAcentral is "long non-coding RNA (PGIN_LNC016269)". The record is from RNAcentral. Lineage: Eukaryota; Viridiplantae; Streptophyta; Magnoliopsida; Apiales; Araliaceae.